GGAACUGCAAAUUGAACAGACAAAUCUUUUAUAUACAAUUCAAGCGUAAAUCUUCUGACGAAUUGGUUAAGCCUUCGGCUUAGUUAAACGGUCUGCAUGACUUUUAUAAAAAACUAGCGGCCCGCCCCGGCUUCGCUUGGGUAGUAGCGCACGUGAUGUAAAUAAUUUUAGGUUUUUUUUUUACACUGGGUUACAUUAUUGGAGUUUCAGUAAGGAUCCCUAAUUUUUUUGAAAAUAUAAUAAAUAUAGCCUAUGUCACCCGUGGAUAGCGUAGCUUUCCAACAGUGAAAGAAUUUUUUAAAUCAGUUCUGUAGUUUCGGAGCCUAUUCAAUACAAACAAACAAACAAAUCUUUCCUCUUUAUAAUAUUAGUAUAGACUAAACUAUAAUAUUACCGCCCAAUUUGAGACCUGAGUUUAAGUUGCAUUAGAAUAUCAGUUUCCAUACCGAACCAAAAUAAACGUAAAUAAAAAUAAAUAAACGUAACGUGGGACCGCCCCUUGGCUAGAACGGUGGUCGGCAAGAGGUUAAUAAGCAGAGCCGAAGAACCGACUCAAUGGUUUUUUUUUUAUGAUUGAAGGAUUACUAGUGGCCCGGAGGCCUUUCCAGUUUCACCAGGACAGGCGGGCGAGGAAAGGCUCAGCCAGAAGGGGUGGGAUUUGCUAACAGCUACCUGAGCGCCUCCGAAGGAGACCUAACAACUCAAGAGCAGCUGCUUCGCGAAUGAAUCUACUACCGGAUCGGAAUCGCGACCCGCUGAGAAGAUCCGGCGAGAAACAGCGAUCUUACACAUGGGUUAGGUUGCACGGCGAACUCUUUGUCGAGUUCGACGAGUACGGUUACCGGGGUCCCUAAGCCUGCUCCUAGUGUUAGAGCUGAAGGCGUCUAAUGCAAAGGUUAUUGGAUCUGGUGGAUCCGUAAGAACGUGUCUAGGGCGUCGACGGUGUCUGGCUCCUGCGUGAUCAGGAUUAGGGGGCUCAGUGGUAUGGAUUGGGAGAGGCUAUGGCUAGCAGUGGACGACUUUGGGCUGAUGAUGAUGAUGAUGAUUAUACCAGACCGAGUACAUGUAUUGUCAUUUUAAAUCCACAUGUCCUAGCAUUGCAAUUCAACAGUGUAACGGACAUUAAAUAUUGUAAAGAACGUAGUCGCCGUAAACUGGUUCUGUCCCAACAUAAAUACAACAAAAAUGUUUAUUCCAUUCUAUUAAAUCUAUUGUAUCCUUCUAGCGCCAUCUAGUGAAUUACUAUACACGUUAUAAAUCUCGUGACUGACUGCACAAUGUUGACACUGAAAUUAUUUGCUCAGUACAUUUAAACAAAUCAUUGGUGUUGAAACGGGAUCUUACAUGACAAUAAUGAUUUCGACUUUUUACCAGAAGACAGAUGGUAUCCGCAUCCGGUAUGGAUGUGAGUCCGCAAAGGUCGUUUCUGAACUCCGUAAAGAGAACUGCAACCGUCGCAUCAUCCUCCAUCACGACAAUGCGAGUUCUCACACCGCGCACAGAACAAGAGUUUUUAGAGCAAGAAAACAUAGAAUUAUUAGACCAUCCGCCGUACAGCCCCGACCUAAGCCCUAAUGAUUUCUAUACUUUCCCUAAAAUAAAGCAUAAAUUGCGUGGACAGAGAUUUUCAUCACCUGAAGAAGCUGUGGACGCCUACAAAAUGGCCAUUUUGGAGACCCCAACUUCCGAAUGGAAUGGUUGCUUCAAUGAUUGGUUCCAUCGUAUGGAAAAAUGUGUCAAAUUUCGCGAAGAAUACUUCGAAAAGCAAUAAAUACAUUUUUUAAUAGUAA
Long non-coding RNA from Bombyx mori (domestic silkworm), 1790 nucleotides. RefSeq lists it as uncharacterized. Lineage: Eukaryota; Metazoa; Arthropoda; Insecta; Lepidoptera; Bombycidae. The transcript is spliced from 2 exons. The record is from RefSeq and is a predicted model, not a curated record.